GUCCUUCUCUCAGACUCACUCUCCUUCUCUCGUUCCAACGAAACACACUCCUCACCGGAAAUCGCUCCGCCGUGCCGGGGGCGGCGGAGCUUGGCCAAACCGUGAAAAAAAACAUCCCAAUCGAACCCCUUCUUCGCCCUCUAACACAAUCUCUUAUCGACUUCCUCAGAUUUUCUCUAUAUCUAGCCUAACAUCAAAACCCUAAAAGUUCUCAAUCUGAAUUAAACAAUGAAGAUGAAGCUAUAGGCUCUGAGACCUUAGGGUUAUCGCUCACAGAUACUCGUUCUACGCAAUGCUAGCAAGAACAUGCUGAAGAAGUGAAAGAGAUCGAAGGUUCCGUGACUUACCUGGCGUGUAAAAUGGCAACGACCGUUGAAGAGAGCCAGAGGGGAGAUAAUAAGCUUCCGAGGGCGAUGAGAUACGCGAAAUAAACGCGGGGAAGGAGAAAGAGCUUCUUGUUUCAGAUCCGAGCAUGGUCUUGACAAGCCGGUGUCACAGUAUGUGGAGCAUAAUCGAACAUGGAGCUGUUUGGUAAGUGUCUUCACAACAAGUUACGGGAAUUGCUUGACGCCACCUGAUGCGAGUUUGGCUUUUUGGUCUGGUAUAGAUGUAUGGAUUGUCAUAGUCUAAAUUUGAUGAACCUUAGUAAUGAUGAACAUGUUUUAGUGACUGUAUUAAUGUAACUGCAGUAGGCUGUUAGGGAGUUCUGAUUCAAUUAUUUUCCUCUUUCUGCUCCACUCGAUAUUCAGUUUAAGCAUUAGCUCUUCUGCCACACAUUUAGGCAAACUGGUUUAUUUUGAUUCACUGAUGUGAUUUGGUUUAUAGGCUGACUUUGGUUUGGCCUUGUGUAUUGAAUGAGCAGGGACUGUUAGCAACAGGCCAAGUGCAAGAUCCUCAGCAGUUACUUGUCAAGUGCUUCUUCUUUUUUUUCCUUCUGAAAUUAUGCUGUAGUAUCAAAUGGACCUGGUUUGAAUGUUGACUGUGUGCAGGCAGUGUUGGCUUGUAUUUGCGUAUGCUACCGGGUUUAAUUUCUUUUCUUUUUUUUUGAACUGAUGCAAAGAUGUUUUGGUAUGCUGCAGGGCUGAAUCUUGGUUUGUUAAAGCUUUGUACAAAUACACUUAGCACGACAUGAGGUUGCAUACGGAAUAUGGGCAGUUCGGAGAAGAAGCGAAGGCGUGUUGUAAUGAAAAUGAAUGAUCAUGAAAAGGAAACUGAAGCCAUAUAGUCAGCAGUGUGUUUUUAGGGAGAAAAGUCUAGGAUCCAUUUUAGUAAAACAAUGUUGAUUUUGAUGAAACUUUGUAAUUUUUCUUUUGUAAUUUUCUUGAUGAUGAUGACUUGUAUCAUGAACACGGGUCAGAUUUGAAUGAGACAAGAUUUCAUCCUCUUUGA
This is a long non-coding RNA of Vicia villosa (hairy vetch), 1389 nucleotides long. RefSeq lists it as uncharacterized. The transcript has 2 exons. Lineage: Eukaryota; Viridiplantae; Streptophyta; Magnoliopsida; Fabales; Fabaceae. The record is from RefSeq and is a predicted model, not a curated record.